Molecule: ribosomal RNA, 2886 nt
Filed under: mouse gut metagenome
Description: bacterial LSU rRNA
Rfam family: Bacterial large subunit ribosomal RNA
Source: RNAcentral
GUAAAUAAUCAAGGGCGUACGGUGGAUGCCUAGGCUCUCAGAGGCGAAGAAGGACGUGAUAAGCUGCGAAAAGCUGCGGGUAGGUGCAAAUAACCUGUGAUCCGCAGAUAUCCGAAUGGGUCAACCCGUUAUGUUGAAGACAUAACAUUCCGCAAGGAAGGCAAACGCAGGGAACUGAAACAUCUAAGUACCUGCAGGAGAAGAAAACAAUAGUGAUACCCCCAGUAGCGGCGAGCGACCGGGGCAUAGCCCAAACCGUAAUUGUUUCGGCAUUUACGGGGUAGUAGGACUGCAAGACUGAAUGAUGCAAUGAAAUGGAACACAUUGGAAAAUGUGAUCGUAGAGGGUGAAAAUCCCGUACAUGUAAGUAAGUCAUUCAUAGCAUACUCCUGAGUAAGUCGGGACACGUGAAAUCCUGACCGAAUCGACCGGGACCAUCCGGUAAGGCUAAAUACUCCUGAGAGACCGAUAGUGAACCAGUACUGUGAAGGAAAGGUGAAAAGCACUUCGAACAGAAGAGUGAAAUAGUCCCUGAACCCGUACGCCUACAAGCAGUCGGAGCCCUUAUUGGGGUGACGGCGUGCCUUUUGCAUAAUGAGCCUACGAGUUACUCAUCACUGGCGAGGUUAAGCACUUCAGGUGCGUAAGCCGAAGCGAAAGCGAGUCUGAACAGGGCGUGAAGUCAGUGGUGGUAGACGCGAAACCUUAGUGAUCUACCCAUGGGCAGGGUGAAGGUUUGGUAACACAAACUGGAGGCCCGCACCGGUAAACGUUGAAAAGUUUUCGGAUGACCUGUGGGUAGGGGUGAAAGGCCAAUCAAACUGGGAAAUAGCUCGUACUCUCCGAAAUGCAUUUAGGUGCAGCCUCUGUUGUUUUGUCUUAGAGGUAGAGCUACUGAUUGGAUGCGAGGGCUUCACCGCCUAUCAAAUCCGGCCAAACUCCGAAUGCUAAGACAUAAAGACAGGGAGUGAGCCAGCGGGUGCUAAGGUCCGUUGACGAAAGAGGGAGAACUCAGCCCAUCAGCUAAGGUCCCCAAUUGUAUGCUAAGUUGGAAUGAAAACGCAGUGGGACAGCUUAGACAGCUAGGAUGUUGGCUUGGAAGCAGCCAUUCAUUUAAAGAGUGCGUAACAGCUCACUAGUCGAGCGGUCCUGCAUGGAUAAUACGCGGGCAUAAGCAUACAACCGAAGCUAUGGAAUGUAUGAAAAUACAUUGGUAGGAGAGCAUUCCAUUAAGCGUCGAAGCGAUACUGUGAGGUAUCGUGGAGCGAAUGGAAAAGCAAAUGUAGGCAUAAGUAACGAUAAUGCGGGUGAGAACCCCGCACGCCGAAAGAUCAAGGAUUCCCCGGCAAUGUCAAUCAUCCGGGGGUAAGUCGGCCCCUAAGGUCCAGCCGAGCGGCGACGCCGAUGGGAAACAGGUUAAUAUUCCUGUACUGAUCACAACUGCGAUGCAGCGACGCAGCGAUGACACUGCUGCCACCUGACGGAAUAGGUGGUUGAAGCCCGUACCCAAUGAUUCCGGUAGUAAAGUACGCCGGGAGAGGUGAAAGGUGAAAGUACCGCAAGGCUCCGGCCGCGCGGAUAAUGCAGGUAAUUUAACUGCCAAGAAAACCUGCUAAGCUUCAGGUUCUGAUCAACCGUACUGUAAACGGACACACGUGAUCGGGUAGAAAAUACUAAGGCGCUCGAGAGAUUCAUGGUUAAGGAACUAGGCAAAAUGGUCCUGUAACUUCGGGAAAAAGGACGCUCACAUUGAUGUGAGCCGCAGAAAAUCGGCCCAGGCGACUGUUUACCAAAAACACAUGGCUAUGCAAAAUCGUAAGAUGACGUAUAUGGCCUGACACCUGCCCGGUGCCGGAAGGUUAAGAGGAGAGCUCAGACGUAUAGUCGAAGGUUUGAAUUGAAGCCCCGGUAAACGGCGGCCGUAACUAUAACGGUCCUAAGGUAGCGAAAUUCCUUGUCGGGUAAGUUCCGACCUGCACGAAUGGUGUAACGAUCUGGGUACUGUCUCAACCAUGAGCUCGGUGAAAUUGUAGUUCCGGUGAAGAUGCCGGAUACCCGCAACGGGACGGAAAGACCCCGUGAACCUUUACUGCAGCUUUGCAUUGAAAUUGGGUAACCGAUGUGUAGGAUAGGUCGGAGGCACCGAAGUAGCAUCGUCAGGUGUUAUGGAGCCGUCGUUGAAAUACGACCCUUCUGUUAUCUGAGUUCUAAUCCCGUUAGGGAGACAUUGCAUGGUGGGUAGUUUGACUGGGGUGGUCGCCUCCAAAAGUGUAACGGAGGCUUCUCAAGGUACCCUCAGGACGUUUGGUAAUCGUCUGCAGAGUGCAAUGGCAUAAGGGUGCUUGACUGUGAGACUCACAAGUCGAUCAGGUUGGAAACAAGAGCAUAGUGAUCCGGUGGUUCCGCAUGGAAGGGCCAUCGCUCAAAGGAUAAAAGGUACUCCGGGGAUAACAGGCUGAUCGCUCCCAAGAGCUCAAAUCGACGGAGCGGUUUGGCACCUCGAUGUCGGCUCGUCACAUCCUGGGGCUGGAGAAGGUCCCAAGGGUUCGGCUGUUCGCCGAUUAAAGUGGCACGCGAGCUGGGUUCAGAACGUCGUGAGACAGUUCGGUCCCUAUCUGUUGUGGGCGCAGGAUAUUUGCGAAGCUCUGACUCUAGUACGAGAGGACCGGGUUGGACAUACCUCUGGUGAAUCAGUUGUGUCGCCAGAUGCACUGCUGAGUAGCUAUGUAUGGAUUGGAUAAGCGCUGAAAGCAUCUAAGCGCGAAGCCAGCUUCAAGAUGAGAUAUCCUUUCAGGGUCGUUCGAGAUGAGAACGUGGAUAGGUUGCAGGUGUACAGUCGGUGACGGCAUAGCCGAGCAAUACUAAUAACCCGAAAGUUUACUUGUU